AGGGCACAACCCCACAGUACCCAAGUGGGAUGGCCUUGGUGGGAACAGCCACUUGCAUCCAUGUCCAGUUGUCAUCAGAUGAGGAGCAGUAACGAGUCGGGUUCCUGCUGUCUGCAAAGUCCAUCUGAGAAGUCGGAGCAGCAGGAGACAGGAGUGCCCACAGGGUAGUCCAAGGCCCGUCCAGGAGAAGGACCAGGCACAGGUACUGGGCUGCUGCUCUUAGACGCCCCCAAAAACAUUCCCUUCUCCAGAGAAGGAGCCCCAUUCCCUCUGCCUCCGUGCACAGGACGUGUGCGCCAGCCCCGACAGCCUCGGUGUCAUCGACGCUUUAUGGUCUCCUCUGGCAAGUCUGGAGAAGGGAGGACAGAGCUCGGAGAUGAGGAAUGGCAUCACCCUGCAUCUUGUUGGUGUUGGGAUGGCCCCAGGCUGGGUGGGGUUUGUGACAGAGAAGGAUCAGCUGCAGGGAUUUUGGCAGCUCGUGGUGAUGAGCUGCUGAGCGGACACGCAACCCUGUGGCUUGCGCUGAGGGUUGUUCACAGCAGUGCCAUGCUGUCACCAAAUAAAUGAUCCAA
Molecule: long non-coding RNA, 572 nt
Organism: Empidonax traillii (willow flycatcher)
Lineage: Eukaryota; Metazoa; Chordata; Aves; Passeriformes; Tyrannidae
Exons: 2
Source: RefSeq, a predicted model, not a curated record